Molecule: ribosomal RNA, 548 nt
Filed under: uncultured bacterium
Lineage: Bacteria
Description: bacterial SSU rRNA
Rfam family: Bacterial small subunit ribosomal RNA
Source: RNAcentral
AAUAGAUACCCUGGUAGUCCACCCCCGUAAAACGUUGGGAACUAGUUGUGGGGUCCUUUCCACGGAUUCCGUGACGCAGCUAACGCAUUAAGUUCCCCGCCUGGGGAGUACGGCCGCAAGGCUAAAACUCAAAGGAAUUGACGGGGACCCGCACAAGCGGCGGAGCAUGCGGAUUAAUUCGAUGCAACGCGAAGAACCUUACCAAGGCUUGACAUACACCAGAACACCCUAGAAAUAGGGGACUCUUUGGACACUGGUGAACAGGUGGUGCAUGGUUGUCGUCAGCUCGUGUCGUGAGAUGUUGGGUUAAGUCCCGCAACGAGCGCAACCCUCGUUCUAUGUUGCCAGCACGUAAUGGUGGGAACUCAUGGGAUACUGCCGGGGUCAACUCGGAGGAAGGUGGGGAUGACGUCAAAUCAUCAUGCCCCUUAUGUCUUGGGCUUCACGCAUGCUACAAUGGCCGGUACAAAGGGCUGCAAUACCGUGAGGUGGAGCGAAUCCCAAAAAAGCCGGUCCCAGUUCGGAUUGAGGUCUGCAACUCGACCUCA